Molecule: non-coding RNA, 212 nt
Organism: Cinara cedri
Lineage: Eukaryota; Metazoa; Arthropoda; Insecta; Hemiptera; Aphididae
Source: the annotation of a GenBank genome assembly
CACGCCGCCGUUUUGACACGGCGGAAAAAAUAAUAUAACGUACGGGUGAGCGGAGUAUUGGUGGAAAAAAAAAAAAAAAAAACAAAAAGAGAGAACGCGAAAAAAAACACGACGAAAAACCGACCGAACGGCGGCGGCGGCGGCGUACGCGAAAACGAAAUAAAAACGUUGCUGCGCUGCGGAACAAUAAUUUUUAUUUAGCACACGUACAC